RNAcentral lists this long non-coding RNA (1560 nucleotides) under Macaca fascicularis (crab-eating macaque). RNAcentral describes it as "lncRNA (ENSMFAG00000048716.1)". The record is from RNAcentral. Lineage: Eukaryota; Metazoa; Chordata; Mammalia; Primates; Cercopithecidae.
UGCUUUUACAUAGCACUAUAUUUUUAUUUCAGGCUGCUUUUCUAAAACACCUAACAUUGGAGAUAAAUAGGAGGUCAUGUUUUAAAUGCAAUAUAUUGGUGGUGGGAGUAACACAGUGUGCCAUCCAUCAUUUGGAAUAAAUAAAAAUUUCAGAAUCUGUCAUGCAAACAAUCUCUAUGAACAAUUAUUUAAUACCAAUACAAAGACAAAAGACGUAGGGGAGUUGUCCCAGCCUGGCAAGUAGAGAGAAUACAAGAAACUGCAACUCAGAUUAUCCUGUUCCAAAGUUCUUCAAUAGUUCUACUCCUUGUCUAUUUAUGUCACCACCAAUCCAGAGCUACUGUAGCCCAAGGAAUUCCUCACUUUCUACCUGCAGGUCUGUUAAGUAAGGACAAUUAUUCUGCAAAGAGGUGACAAGUCCUUUACAGAAAAUGUUGAAUUCUAGGGUAGAAAAUUGUGCAGUAAUGAAAUGUCAGUAAGACCACAAGGAGCCAACUCCACUGCAACAGCGACUGCAGACAGGGACUGUCCAGGUACCACAGUGAACAAAGCGGGUACAGAGCACAGCAUCCACUUAUUGUCUUCAGGGAUGCUUUUGGCAUGACUCUCUCAGAGAUAAAUUUACUGUUGAGCUACAACACUCUACAUUUGAAAAAACAGAAAGUAAAAAGUCUUUCUUUAAGAACAGUUGGUAUUGUCAAUCCUUAAGCUAUUUAUAUCAAUAGGACUUGGACCAUGCAGGUAUCUGUGGGAUGUGCCGACCUUCAGAGGAAGUCCUAAGAAGUCAGCAUUGUGGAGCUUUGAUAGAUGAGGUCACGCUUAGUGAACUGAAGCUCAUCUUUUAUUCAGUAGAUGUAACCUCAGUUUUAUUCAACUGAACAAGUUCUGCUACUCCAACACUCAAGAGUAUUGACUGCUGUUUCAGAGCUUUGAUAUACCAUUCAUUUUGUAAAGGCAAUUUACAGGGUGUUUCAACUUUGGCUAUAGAUAACCAAGUUAUGGGGAGGAUGAAAGGGUUCCAUGAUAUUGCAGUAUAAUUGAACAAAUGCAUGAUUCUUUUUACCAUUAUAUAAGGGAAACUAAAAAAGCAAUACGGCAGUCUUUUAAAAAAGGAGAUAAACUAUAUAGGUUACUAAACCAAAGAAUCACAGCUAAAUAUAUUUUUUUUAUUUUUGCAGAAAAGAGGAAAUAAAGAAAAUGGAGUAAAGACUAUUUUCACCAAGGCCUGCCCUUAAAGGAGCUAAGCACCUCAAAUUAAAUUCGUGCUUCUUAGUUCUCACUUUCCCUUAAUAUUGGCAUAACUCCGCCACGGCAUUCUGCCAAUUAUCAUCAGAGUGAGAAACAGGGCAUUAACCUUCUUUUUUUCAAGGGACAAAGUUCUUAAGAAACAAUUGAUUACUGCUUGCCCAGGGUCUGCACAUAAAACAGGAAUUCUCUUGCGGAAUCUACUAUUUGUGGGAUAAACCUUGAAGAAAAAAAAUUCAGUCUGAACAUAUGUAUUGCUUUACCAGUCGCUGAAUUAUCAUAGUCUUAUUUUUUCCUUCUUUUCUUCUUAACUAU